CCUACGGGAGGCAGCAGUGGGGAAUAUUGCACAAUGGGGGAAACCCUGAUGCAGCAACGCCGCGUGAGUGAAGAAGUAUUUCGGUAUGUAAAGCUCUAUCAGCAGGGAAGAAGAUGACGGUACCUGAAUACGAAGCCCCGGCUAACUACGUGCCAGCAGCCGCGGUAAUACGUAGGGGGCAAGCGUUAUCCGGAUUUAUUGGGUUUAAAGGGUGCGUAGGCGGAAUGCCAAGUCAGCUGUAAAAGCGCGGGGCUAAACCUCGCUCCGCCGUUGAAACUGGCGUGCUUGAGUGGGCGAGAAGUAUGCGGAAUGCGUGGUGUAGCGGUGAAAUGCAUAGAUAUAACGCAGAACUCCGAUUGCGAAGGCAGCAUACCGGCGCCCAACUGACGCUGAAGCACGAAAGCGUGGGUAUCGAACAGGAUUAGAUACCCCGGUAGUC
Molecule: ribosomal RNA, 439 nt
Filed under: uncultured bacterium
Lineage: Bacteria
Description: partial 16S ribosomal RNA
Rfam family: Bacterial small subunit ribosomal RNA
Source: RNAcentral